This 74-nucleotide transfer RNA is filed under the name Fibrobacter sp. RNAcentral's name for it is "tRNA-His". It matches the Rfam family "tRNA". From Rfam's summary of the family: Transfer RNA (tRNA) molecules are approximately 80 nucleotides in length. Their secondary structure includes four short double-helical elements and three loops (D, anti-codon, and T loops). The record is from RNAcentral. Lineage: Bacteria; Pseudomonadati; Fibrobacterota; Fibrobacteria; Fibrobacterales; Fibrobacteraceae.
GUGAGUGUAGCUCAGUUGGUUAGAGUCCCAGAUUGUGAUUCUGGAUGUCGUCGGUUCGAGCCCGAUCACUCACC